Molecule: long non-coding RNA, 225 nt
Filed under: Homo sapiens (human)
Lineage: Eukaryota; Metazoa; Chordata; Mammalia; Primates; Hominidae
Description: non-protein coding lnc-GIN1-2:1
Source: RNAcentral
AUGACUAAAAAAACCAUUGCCAAGAACACGACCUCACUCCAGGCACAAAUAAUGGAUUCUGCAAAUGGGAUAUUCAGUAAAUGUUUCACUGCAUGGUUCAAGAAGUCCCCAACAAGAAAUACAAUGAGUGCCGAAGAAAAGGUUCACAGAUGCAAACCUCAGACACCUAUUGAGACAGUUCUCUUCAGUUCAUCUCCGCAGCCUACUGAGGAGACGGGGAGUUAA